AACGCCCUCGACCUAUUCUCA
Molecule: small nuclear RNA, 21 nt
Filed under: Arabidopsis thaliana (thale cress)
Lineage: Eukaryota; Viridiplantae; Streptophyta; Magnoliopsida; Brassicales; Brassicaceae
Description: snRNA_15956
Source: RNAcentral